RNAcentral lists this ribosomal RNA (397 nucleotides) under uncultured bacterium. RNAcentral's name for it is "partial 16S ribosomal RNA". It matches the Rfam family "Bacterial small subunit ribosomal RNA", at positions 523 to 918 of the family's 1533-position model. The record is from RNAcentral.
CUACGUAGGGGGCGAGCGUUGUCCGGAAUGACUGGGCGUAAAGGGCGUGUAGGCGGCUGUCUAAGUCUGGAGUGAAAGUCCUGCUUUCAAGGUGGGAAUUGCUUUGGAGACUGGAUGGCUUGAGUGCGGAAGAGGUAAGUGGAAUUCCCAGUGUAGCGGUGAAAUGCGUAGAGAUUGGGAGGAACACCAGUGGCGAAGGCGACUUACUGGGCCGUAACUGACGCUGAGGCGCGAAAGCGUGGGGAGCGAACAGGAUUAGAUACCCUGGUAGUCCACGCGGUAAACGAUGAAUGCCAGGUGUUGCGGGUAUCGACCCCUGCAGUGCCGGAGUAAACACAAUAAGCAUUCCGCCUGGGGAGUACGGCCGCAAGGUUGAAACUCAAAUGAAUUGACGGGG